UACGUAGGGCGCAAGCGUUAUCCGGAAUUAUUGGGCGUAAAGAGCUUGUAGGCGGUUUGUCGCGUCUGCCGUGAAAAUCCGGGGCUCAACCCCGGACUUGCGGUGGGUACGGGCAGACUAGAGUGUGGUAGGGGAGACUGGAAUUCCUGGUGUAGCGGUGAAAUGCGCAGAUAUCAGGAGGAACACCGAUGGCGAAGGCAGGUCUCUGGGCCGCUACUGACGCUGAGAAGCGAAAGCGUGGGGAGCGAACAGG
RNAcentral lists this ribosomal RNA (253 nucleotides) under uncultured bacterium. Its description in RNAcentral is "partial 16S ribosomal RNA". It matches the Rfam family "Bacterial small subunit ribosomal RNA", at positions 524 to 776 of the family's 1533-position model. The record is from RNAcentral.